Mycena maculata is the source of this 87-nucleotide non-coding RNA. Lineage: Eukaryota; Fungi; Basidiomycota; Agaricomycetes; Agaricales; Mycenaceae. The record is from the annotation of a GenBank genome assembly.
AAUUUAUUGGGGUAGUGGUAACCUGGGUCGUUGCCAUCGAAGUUACGUAACCUCGACCCGCCGGGGGUUCGAUUCCCUCCCAAAGCA